GGGCCCAUAGCUCAGUGGUAGAGCAGGUGACUCAUAAUCACUUGGUCGUAGGUUCGAACCCUUCUGGGCCCA
RNAcentral lists this transfer RNA (72 nucleotides) under Candidatus Omnitrophota bacterium. Its description in RNAcentral is "Candidatus Omnitrophica bacterium tRNA-Ile". It matches the Rfam family "tRNA". Rfam says of the family: Transfer RNA (tRNA) molecules are approximately 80 nucleotides in length. The record is from RNAcentral. Lineage: Bacteria; Pseudomonadati; Candidatus Omnitrophota.